RNAcentral lists this ribosomal RNA (489 nucleotides) under uncultured bacterium. Its description in RNAcentral is "partial 16S ribosomal RNA". It matches the Rfam family "Bacterial small subunit ribosomal RNA", at positions 28 to 507 of the family's 1533-position model. The record is from RNAcentral.
GACGAACGCUGGCGGCGUGCCUAACACAUGCAAGUCGAACGGUGAAGGGAUCAGCUUGCUGGUUCUGGAUGAGUGGCGAACGGGUGAGUAACACGUGAGUAACCUGCCCCCUUCUUCUGGAUAACCGCAUGAAAGUGUGGCUAAUACGGGAUAUUCUGCGCCUGCUGCAUGGUGGGUGUGGGUAAGGUAUUGUUUCGGUGGGGGAUGGGCUCGCCGCCUAUCAGCGUGUUGGUGGUGUGAUGGCCUAGCAAGGCGGUGACGAGUAGCCGGUCGGAGAGGGAGGAAGGUCACACUGGGACUGAGACACAGACCAGACUGCGACGGGAGGGAGCAGUGGAGAAGAUUGCACGAGGGGGGCUAGCCUGAUGCAGCGACGCCGCGUGAGAGAGGGUGGCCUUCGGAUUGUGAACCUCUUUCGCAAGUGAAGCAGGCCUGUAACUUGUGGGUGGGUUGACGGUAGCUGGAUAAGAAGCGCCGGCUAACUACGUG